This 2500-nucleotide long non-coding RNA is filed under the name Homo sapiens (human). RNAcentral describes it as "HSALNT0123612". Lineage: Eukaryota; Metazoa; Chordata; Mammalia; Primates; Hominidae. The record is from RNAcentral.
UUUAAAAAACAAUGUUUGUCUGGCCAUGGUGGCUCAUGCCUGUAAGCCCAACACUUUGGAAGGCCGAGGCAGGCGGAUCACUUGAGGUCAGUAGUUUGAGACCAGCCUGGCCAACAUGAUGAAACCCUGUGUCUACUAAAAGUACAAAAAUUAGCUGGGAGUGGUGGCAGGCACCAGUAAUCCCACCUACUCGGAAGGCUGAGGCAGGAGAAUCGCUUGAACCCGAGAGGCGAGGUUGCAGUGAGCCGAGAUCGCGUCACUGCAGUCCAGCCAGGGCAGUAGGGCAACAACUCCAUCCCAAAUUAAAUUAAAUUUAAAAAACCAAAGGUUUUAGCACGAUAAAGAACGUUAAAAUGUAAACUAAACUAUGACAGUUUAGAUUAUGAUGAAUGACUUUUUAUUUGCACUUAUGUUAAGAAUCACCUUUAUUUAUUUUUUUGAAACACACAGGAAAUGCUGUGGUGGUAACUUGCUGGGUGAUGACUGGGAUGGUAUUUACUAUCCUAGGGAUGGUGGGGUCCAGUGGACCAGAAUCCUCAGCACCUGACCAUGUUCACUGCUGUCCUUUCUCUCCCUAAGAUUCGUUUCUCAGACUCCAUCAUCAACUCUGUUUCUAUCGUGGCGUGAACGGUUUUUCGCUGCUUUAGCAUCUAACUUUGAUUUCUGCGAAUUUUCGUUGAUAGUUUGUUUUUCUUGUCCAUCUCUGGUGCUGGCUUUGCUGUUCCACUUUGAGGAGUUCCGGCAGCUUCACCCUCAGCUACUCCAACAGUCCAUCCUUUUGGCUCAAACUCUUGCAGUUUCUUUCGGUUCUUCUGUUCCUGGCGUCUGAGAUUUGUCAGCAGAGCCUGUUUUUCAGGGAACAUGGAUACCACCUCCUCCCUCCUGCGGGGUGGCUCCUGCACGUCUAGUGGGCGCUAGUCCCAGCCGCGGCCCAGCCAAGCACAGCGGCAACCGCAGCAGCAGCCGGAGUGCCAGCCCCCGGGGUCGCCCAGGCCAGGGACGCCACGGCUCUAACCCUGGGUCGAGGCCCAGAUCGGUGCACAGAAAGCCGAUGUCAAGUGGAGCAUUUCCCACAGCUGGGCGAGCCCUCCUCAGCCUGCGGAGCCAGUUCCUGCCACCAGCUUCAUGCUGCCACUGCCCCCUUUCAUUAGAGGGACGCACAGGAAGGCACAGGGGCACAGAGACAUCGUGGAAGAGUCCAGGGGAAGGAGGAGGGGCGGGGCCCGUCAGCCUCAGGCCCAGGGCAUUGCGGCGCGCCUCAUGCCUGAGCAAACAUCAGCCACUGUCACCGCGGGGAGGACAGAGGGGCCCAGGCUCCCCCAGCCAGCCUUCCUCUGUGCCAGGAGAGGAGACAACUUUCCUAAAAAGCAGCACAGGGUAGAACCUGCAGAUCUGACCCAAUUAAGUUUUCGUCCUUUUUAACUCUUUUCUCUUGUUUUGCCUUUUCCUUUCAAAUUAUGCUCACCUGAAGUCAGAUUUCAUGUUCCAUCUUCAUGUGGCAAUUUACAUGUAAUCAUAAUGGUCACAACUUUAAAAACUUUUUUUGUUUUUUUAAUUUGGAGACGGAGUCUCACACUGUCGCCCAGCCUGGUGUACAGUGUCGCGAUCUCAGCUCACUGCAACCUCCGACUCCCGGGUUCAAGCAAUUCUCAGGCUUCAGCCUCCUGAGUAGCUGGGAUUACAGGCAUGCGCCACCACGCCUGGCUAAUUUUUGUAUUUUUAGUAGAGAUGGGGUUUUGCAAUGUUGUUCAGGCUGGUCUCAAAUUCCUGGCCUCAAGUGAUCCGCCCAGCUUGGCCUCCCAAAGUGCUAGGAUUACAGAAAAAUUUUAAUUUAUUUUACCCAACAGUGCUGGGUUAACAUUAAACUUUUAAUAGUGCUUUCUGAAUGCUACAGUUUAUUACCUUUUAUUUGAUUCUAUUAACUAAGCUAUAGUAACUAAUAAUAAAGUCUCAAUUUGCAUACCUUGACAGUUUACAAAGGGCAUGCAUUUAUUCAUUUAACCAAUAAAUGUGUGUUGAGCAUACACAAUGUGCCAUACUUUUUGCUAGGCUUAGGAAAUAAAAUGAAGAAAAGAAAGUAUUGGUCUCUACUCUCAUAAAACUUUCAGGCUGGCUUCAUGAAACUCUCACACACUCCUGAGAAGUGGAUACCUCUGAAGUCUCUUAUUAACCUCCUACCCAAAGUAACCACCAUGUGAAUUUUGUGUUAUUCUUUAAUUUAUGCAUUUUUAUCUAUAAACCAUAUACAUUUUAGUGUUGCCUGUUUUUUGCGUUUAUAUACAUUUUACCAUUUUAUAUUUGGGACUUGCUUUUUUAUUUAUAAUUUUUUUAUUAUUUCAUGUUGCUUAGCAUAGCUGUAGUUGUCCAUUUUCACUGCUGCAUAGUGUAAAUAUACAUCAAUUUAUAAAUCAAUCUUAUUGCCAGUGGAUAUUUGUGAAUUCCAAUUACUCCAUAUUUUUACCAACUUAGAAUUACUAGACAUAAUUUUUGACAAAAUGGU